This 486-nucleotide ribosomal RNA is filed under the name uncultured bacterium. RNAcentral describes it as "partial 16S ribosomal RNA". It matches the Rfam family "Bacterial small subunit ribosomal RNA", at positions 30 to 507 of the family's 1533-position model. The record is from RNAcentral.
AUUGAACGCUGGCGGCAUGCCUUACACAUGCAAGUCGAACGGCAGCACGGGUGCUUGCACCUGGUGGCGAGUGGCGAACGGGUGAGUAAUACAUCGGAACAUGUCCUGUAGUGGGGGAUAGCCCGGCGAAAGCCGGAUUAAUACCGCAUACGACCUACGGAUGAAAGCGGGGGACCUUCGGGCCUCGCGCUAUAGGGUUGGCCGAUGGCUGAUUAGCUAGUUGGUGGGGUAAAGGCCUACCAAGGCGACGAUCAGUAACUGGUCUGAGAGGACGACCAGCCACACUGGGACUGAGACACGGCCCAGACUCCUACGGGAGGCAGCAGUGGGGAAUUUUGGACAAUGGGCGAAAGCCUGAUCCAGCAAUGCCGCGUGUGUGAAGAAGGCCUUCGGGUUGUAAAGCACUUUUGUCCGGAAAGAAAUGCUUGGCCCUAAUACGGUCGGGGGAUGACGGUACCGGAAGAAUAAGCACCGGCUAACUACGUG